This is a long non-coding RNA of Gavialis gangeticus (Gharial), 374 nucleotides long. RefSeq lists it as uncharacterized. The transcript is spliced from 4 exons. The record is from RefSeq and is a predicted model, not a curated record. NCBI's taxonomy places the organism in Eukaryota, Metazoa, Chordata, Crocodylia, Gavialidae.
UACUCUGCAGUUUUUUAAGGUGAAAAUGAAAGAGAUUGCUUUUGCAGCAAAAUUCGCCUGCAGGAUCUGUUGUGUCAUUACAGGAUAAUACCAACAGCAUACUUUGGUGAGCAAGCAAAGCAGCUGAACUUUUUGCAGAAGCGCAUUUCAGGACUUCAUGGAAAGAAUUACAUGGGGUUAAACCUCAGGCCUAUAGCAUCCAGGGCUACACCAGGAAGAUGUGAUGGAAUAAGUGACUGGUGAUCCUGAUGCUGCUCCCAAGCAUGCAAGCUGAAAUAAUUAUAGCAACAGAUCUAUAGACCUUAUUAUUUGAAGAAAGGUACAUUUCAGAUUGUUUAAAGGUAGGGUGACCAGAUGAUUUUGAAGGAGGGGGU